RNAcentral lists this unclassified non-coding RNA (352 nucleotides) under soil metagenome. RNAcentral's name for it is "partial contains 5.8S ribosomal RNA, internal transcribed spacer 2, and large subunit ribosomal RNA". The stretch from base 1 to 120 matches the Rfam family "5.8S ribosomal RNA", at positions 35 to 154 of the family's 154-position model. The record is from RNAcentral.
GAUGAAGAACGUAGCGAAAUGCGAUAAGUAAUGUGAAUUGCAGAAUUCAGUGAAUCAUCGAAUCUUUGAACGCACAUUGCGCCCGCCAGUAUUCUGGCGGGCAUGCCUGUUCGAGCGUCAUUUCAACCCUCAGGCCCCCAGUGCCUGGUGUUGGGGAUCGGCCCAGCCUUCCUGUAAGGCCGCCGGCCCCGAAAUCUAGUGGCGGUCUCGCUGUAGUCCUCCUCUGCGUAGUAGCACAACCUCGCAGUUGGAACGCGGCGGUGGCCAUGCCGUUAAACACCCCACUUCUGAAAGUUGACCUCGGAUCAGGUAGGGAUACCCGCUGAACUUAAGCAUAUCAAUAAGCGGAGGA